CCGCCAUCUCACUGUCCCCCUGCACUCCCAGUCCAACAGCAGGGUACUGAACAUUUCUGGUGCAGUUGGUCAGGAUUUUGGUGUCAGUUUUUCAACUUUUACAUUAAUUUAUAAAAUCAAAAUAAUGCGUGUCGACUGACAAAAAAUGCACAACCUAGAAGGUGAGAAUUAUGUUAUAUUCAGCGGACUUUCUAAGGACUCACGCGCCGGAAGACAGCCUCUCAGCUCGAGGGACUGCUCCUAAGAGAUGAUGAUGUGCCAACCAUUUGUCACUGGGCAGAAGCUGGUACCUGGAUGUUUCUGGUUGGAGGAUUCAGACAGCAGCAUUCCCUGCCUCCCACAACCCACUACAGGCUCCUUUGUAAUCUCUGAAUUUGCACGUGGGCGUAGAGGUGCCUCUUGAGAAAAUCCGCCCCCGCCCCAGAUUUCACAUGAAGAAGUCGCCGGAGUUGGGAGGGAUUUAGAGACAUCAAAUAAAAUAUUUCUCAGAUUCAAG
Long non-coding RNA from Bos taurus (domestic cattle), 496 nucleotides. The record is from Ensembl. Lineage: Eukaryota; Metazoa; Chordata; Mammalia; Artiodactyla; Bovidae.